This 495-nucleotide ribosomal RNA is filed under the name uncultured bacterium. Its description in RNAcentral is "partial 16S ribosomal RNA". It matches the Rfam family "Bacterial small subunit ribosomal RNA", at positions 28 to 523 of the family's 1533-position model. The record is from RNAcentral.
GAUGAACGCUGGCGGCGUGCUUAACACAUGCAAGUCGAGCGAAGCACUUAUGAAAGAUUCUUCGGAUGAUUUCAUUUGUGACUGAGCGGCGGACGGGUGAGUAACGCGUGGGUAACCUGCCUCAUACAGGGGGAUAACAGUUGGAAACGACUGCUAAUACCGCAUAAGCGCACAGUACCGCAUGGUACAGUGUGAAAAACUCCGGUGGUAUGAGAUGGACCCGCGUCUGAUUAGCUUGUUGGUGGGGUAACGGCCUACCAAGGCAACGAUCAGUAGCCGACCUGAGAGGGUGACCGGCCACAUUGGGACUGAGACACGGCCCAAACUCCUACGGGAGGCAGCAGUGGGGAAUAUUGCACAAUGGGGGAAACCCUGAUGCAGCAACGCCGCGUGAGUGAAGAAGUAUUUCGGUAUGUAAAGCUCUAUCAGCAGGGAAGAAAAUGACGGUACCUGACUAGGAAGCCCCGGCUAACUACGUGCCAGCAGCCGCCGUAA